RNAcentral lists this ribosomal RNA (901 nucleotides) under Paraconiothyrium magnoliae. RNAcentral's name for it is "eukaryotic LSU rRNA". It matches the Rfam family "Eukaryotic large subunit ribosomal RNA", at positions 45 to 963 of the family's 3401-position model. The record is from RNAcentral. Lineage: Eukaryota; Fungi; Ascomycota; Dothideomycetes; Pleosporales; Didymosphaeriaceae.
AAUAAGCGGAGGAAAAGAAACCAACAGGGAUUGCCCUAGUAACGGCGAGUGAAGCGGCAACAGCUCAAAUUUGAAAUCUGGCUCUCUUUGGGGGUCCGAGUUGUAAUUUGCAGAGGAUGCUUUGGCAUUGGCGGCGGUCUAAGUUCCUUGGAACAGGACAUCGCAGAGGGUGAGAAUCCCGUACGUGGGCGCCUGCCUUUGCCGUGUAAAGCUCCUUCGACGAGUCGAGUUGUUUGGGAAUGCAGCUCUAAAUGGGAGGUAAAUUUCUUCUAAAGCUAAAUACCGGCCAGAGACCGAUAGCGCACAAGUAGAGUGAUCGAAAGAUGAAAAGUACUUUGGAAAGAGAGUCAAAAAGCACGUGAAAUUGUUGAAAGGGAAGCGCUUGCAGCCAGACUUGCCCGCAGUUGCUCACCUAGGCUUUGGCCUGGGGCACUCUUCUGCGGGCAGGCCAGCAUCAGUUUGGGCGGUCGGAUAAAGGCCUCUGUCACGUAUCUUCCUUCGGGAUGACCUUAUAGGGGAGGCGUAAUGCGACCAGCCCGGACUGAGGUCCGCGCAUCUGCUAGGAUGCUGGCGUAAUGGCUGUAAGCGGCCCGUCUUGAAACACGGACCAAGGAGUCUAACAUCUAUGCGAGUGUUUGGGUGUCAAGCCCGGGCGCGUAAUGAAAGUGAACGGAGGUGGGAACCCUUUGGGUGCACCAUCGACCGAUCCUGAUGUCUUCGGAUGGAUUUGAGUAAGAGCAUAGCUGUUGGGACCCGAAAGAUGGUGAACUAUGCUUGAAUAGGGUGAAGCCAGAGGAAACUCUGGUGGAGGCUCGCAGCGGUUCUGACGUGCAAAUCGAUCGUCAAAUUUGGGCAUAGGGGCGAAAGACUAAUCGAACCAUCUAGUAGCUGGUUCCUGCGA